GGCGCUAUAGCCAAGUGGUUACGGCGAGUGAUUAGAACUGGUUUCGAACCUGUGCAUUAUCACUUCCACUUUGUGGGCGCAGGUUCGAGUCCUGCUGGCGUCG
Transfer RNA from Trametes pubescens, 103 nucleotides. It matches the Rfam family "tRNA". From Rfam's summary of the family: Transfer RNA (tRNA) molecules are approximately 80 nucleotides in length. Their secondary structure includes four short double-helical elements and three loops (D, anti-codon, and T loops). The record is from Rfam. Lineage: Eukaryota; Fungi; Basidiomycota; Agaricomycetes; Polyporales; Polyporaceae.